CGCACGGGUGAGUAACACGUAUGGAACCUGCCCUAUGCAGGGGGAUAAGCGGAAGAAAUUCCGUCUAAUACCGCAUAACACCAUUUGGAGACAUCUCCAGGGGGUCAAAGGAGGCGACUCCGGCAUAGGAUGGCCAUGCGUCGCAUUAGCUAGUCGGCGGGGUAACGGCCCACCGAGGCAUCGAUGGAUAGGGGUUCUGAGAGGAAGGUCCCCCACAUUGGAACUGAGACACGGUCCAAACUCCUACGGGAGGCAGCAG
Molecule: ribosomal RNA, 259 nt
Filed under: uncultured bacterium
Lineage: Bacteria
Description: partial 16S ribosomal RNA
Rfam family: Bacterial small subunit ribosomal RNA
Source: RNAcentral